RNAcentral lists this ribosomal RNA (301 nucleotides) under uncultured bacterium. Its description in RNAcentral is "partial 16S ribosomal RNA". It matches the Rfam family "Bacterial small subunit ribosomal RNA", at positions 509 to 808 of the family's 1533-position model. The record is from RNAcentral.
CAGUAGCGCGGUAAUACGUAGGGUGCGAGCGUUAAUCGGAAUUACUGGGCGUAAAGCGUGCGCAGGCGGUUGUGUAAGACAGGUGUGAAAUCCCCGGGCUUAACCUGGGAACUGCGCUUGUGACUGCACAGCUAGAGUAUGGCAGAGGGGGGUGGAAUUCCACGUGUAGCAGUGAAAUGCGUAGAGAUGUGGAGGAACACCGAUGGCGAAGGCAGCCCCCUGGGCCAAUACUGACGCUCAUGCACGAAAGCGUGGGGAGCAAACAGGAUUAGAUACCCGCGUAGUCCCUGUCUCUUAUACA